CUCAAGGGGAGGAGGCAUGGUCAGCCCGGGUAGGUCCGCCCUUUCAUUACACUCUUGAUUUGUGAGAGCAGAUUUGUCUAUCUAAAAUGAAGAACUGGAAUGAAUGCCAACUAGAAAAAAAGGGAUGGACUGUGCUGAUUAUUCUGCAUUUACUCUUACCUUUAUGGAUCUGUUCUUUGCGCUGAUCUUUACCCCAGAACUACAUCACUUGGUAUCUCUUGCCCUCUGACAUUUUGCUGUUUUCAACCAAUAAGAGGCAUUACUAUGGGAGAAAAGGAGUAAGAGGGCAAAGUUAUCAGGAAUGUGGAUGUAUGCCUGCACCAUCAACUGCUGAUCAACCGUUUCUUUUGCUACCUUCACAGAAGAGAUGAAGUUCCUGUCAUCUGAGGACAGACCUUGGCAUCAGAAAUGCCAAAAGU
Leopardus geoffroyi (Geoffroy's cat) is the source of this 419-nucleotide long non-coding RNA. RefSeq lists it as uncharacterized. The record is from RefSeq and is a predicted model, not a curated record. Lineage: Eukaryota; Metazoa; Chordata; Mammalia; Carnivora; Felidae. The transcript has 3 exons.